Molecule: ribosomal RNA, 328 nt
Filed under: uncultured eukaryote
Lineage: Eukaryota
Description: partial 18S ribosomal RNA
Rfam family: Eukaryotic small subunit ribosomal RNA
Source: RNAcentral
CCCUUAGAUGUUCUGGGCCGCACGCGCGCUACACUGUUCGACGCAGCGAGUCUUAACCUUGACCGAAAGGUUUGGGUAAUCUUCAGCAAAGUCGAACGUGAUGGGGAUCGAUCAUUGCAAUUAUUGAUCGUGAACGAGGAAUUCCUAGUAAGUGCAAGUCAUCAGCUUGCGCUGAUUACGUCCCUGCCCUUUGUACACACCGCCCGUCGCUACUACCGAUUGAGUGGUCCGGUGAGGCCUUGGGAGGGCUAAGUGGGCUGUGUUUCACAGACUACCUGGCCCGAACCUGGUCAAACCUUAUCACUUAGAGGAAGGAGAAGUCGUAACA